UUUAUGGACACUCCACUCAAAGCGUAUUACAAGUAAUGAGGAAUCCCACUAUCACCACCAGUGUACAGCCCCACCUGGAUGAUGCUCCAGUACUCUCACCACACACCAGCUAUCAGUGGGGAGGAGAGCAGAGUGAUGAAGCCAGUUCAGAAAUGGGAAUUAUUAUGAGGCCAUGAUUGGUAAAGACCAGGGGAAAAUUUGAUCAGGACACUUAGGUAACACCCCUACUCUUUUCGGGAAACACCCUGGGAUUUUUAAUGCCCACAGAGAGUCAGGACCAGGGUUUUAAGUCUCAUCCGAAGGACAGCACCUUUUACAGUAUUGUGUCCCCAUCUCUAUACUGGGGCCUUAGGACGCACACAACUGCAGGGUGAGCGCCCCCUACUGGCCCCCCCAACACCUCUUCCAGCAGCAGCCUUAGCUUUCCCAGGAGUCUCCCAUCCAGGUACUGACCAGACUCACACCUGCUGAGCUCCAGUGGGGCUGCCAGCUGUGAGCUGUGAGCUGCAGGGUGAUAGAGCUGCUGGCUAAACAUCCGUCUGUCUGUUGUCCACAGUACAUGGAGCAAAACAAAGGAGCCUGUGCUCUCACUGGGGACGAGUUCAGUCUGUUGACAUACAACAAGGAGACCCUGCUGGAGGACAGCUGGCCAGAGCAGAAUCCGGACAGUCUUGUUGACGCUGGCCCGGCUGACAGGAAACAGGUCAGUCUGUGUUUCUGCCUCUGUCUGUCCUCCCCCGACCUUCCUGACCAGCAGGGAGUCAGGGUGUCUGCAGGUGUAUCAGUCAGUCUCCCACUCUCUUCAGCUCCGAGAUGAGGCUUUUUAUAAGGGCGCCCUAUGACUGGAUUGCACUUAGUCUGCACCAACGUCUGC
RNAcentral lists this long non-coding RNA (874 nucleotides) under Lepisosteus oculatus (spotted gar). Its description in RNAcentral is "lncRNA (ENSLOCG00000021954.1)". Lineage: Eukaryota; Metazoa; Chordata; Actinopteri; Semionotiformes; Lepisosteidae. The record is from RNAcentral.